This 463-nucleotide ribosomal RNA is filed under the name uncultured bacterium. RNAcentral describes it as "partial 16S ribosomal RNA". It matches the Rfam family "Bacterial small subunit ribosomal RNA", at positions 28 to 507 of the family's 1533-position model. The record is from RNAcentral.
GAUGAACGCUGACAGAAUGCUUAACACAUGCAAGUCGAUGGGGAAGUGGUGCUUGCACCAUGGUAACCAUGGCGGACGGGUGAGUAACGCGUAAGGAACUUGCCUGCGGGACUGGGAUAACAGCAGGAAACUGCUGAUAAUACCGGAUAAGGUCAUUAAGCUGCAUAGCUUAGUGAUGAAAGGAGACGCCUGCGGAGAGCCUUGCGUCCUAUUAGCUAGUUGGAGGGGUAACGGCCCACCAAGGCGAAGAUAGGUAGCCGGCCUGAGAGGGUGGACGGCCACAAGGGGACUGAGAUACGGCCCUUACUCCUACGGGAGGCAGCAGUGGGGAAUAUUGGACAAUGGGGGCAACCCUGAUCCAGCAAUUCUGUGUGCACGAAGACGGUUUUCGGAUUGUAAAGUGCUUUCAGCGGGGAAGAAGGAAGUGACGGUACCUGCAGAAGAAGCGACGGCUAAAUACGUG